This 389-nucleotide ribosomal RNA is filed under the name uncultured bacterium. Its description in RNAcentral is "bacterial SSU rRNA". It matches the Rfam family "Bacterial small subunit ribosomal RNA", at positions 28 to 419 of the family's 1533-position model. The record is from RNAcentral.
GACGAACGCUGGCGGCGUGCUUAACACAUGCAAGUCGAGCGGUAAGGCCCUUUCGGGGUACACGAGCGGCGAACGGGUGAGUAACACGUGGGUGACCUGCCCUCAGCUCUGGGAUAAGCCUGGGAAACCGGGUCUAAUACUGGAUAUGACUCCAUGACGCAUGUUGUGGGGUGGAAAGCCUUGUGCGGCUGAGGAUGGGCCCGCGGCCUAUCAGCUUGUUGGUGGGGUGANGGCCUACCAAGGCGACGACGGGUAGCCGGCCUGAGAGGGCGACCGGCCACACUGGGACUGAGACACGGCCCAGACUCCUACGGGAGGCAGCAGUGGGGAAUCUUGCGCAAUGGGCGAAAGCCUGACGCAGCGACGCCGCGUGAGGGAUGACGGCCUGG